AUACAAAUUAACUUAAAUCCAGCUACGAUCAAACCAUGGCAAAUUAUUGACUCUUACAUGACAUAACAAUAUCAUUGAGAAGUUUUUUCCGUAUUCUCAAAACUGCUAUAAAUGACUUAAGCAAUUCAGUUAUUAGCGUGACGAUAUGUACAAAUAUUAUGUUGAAUGACAGGGAUUUGGGAAGACCUACUAAUCGAAAAUAUAUAUAUUCGUCUUUUCACCAUACUUAUGUACCCCAAAACACACGGUUACCAACAAUUAAGUAAGAGGUUCAUUGUUUUCGAAGAACCUCAACUUUCACGGGUAUCGGUGGCAACACGCAGAAAAGUUGAUGAUGAGUGCAGGGGUUCAUUUACGGUUCAAUACCGUAGAAAAUAUUCAGACGGAGCUCUUUGAGAUGCAAUGCAAUGGGGAAAUAAAAUUCAUAUUCUAUUCAAAAAAUGCAUCACUGCUUGAUUUUUAUAAAAACGUAUCUUCUUAAAGAAAAUCUCUAUCAAAAUUUGACAACACAUGCGGAAAAAUUCGAUGUUUGUAAGUACAUGUGUGCGAACAAUUAUUUUUGAAAAAAUGAACAUUACAAAAAACAGUGGGUGUCGAAAUGCUAUUAAGCGUGAUGUAGCAACAAGACAGUGUCGCAUUGAAUGUUAUUUAUAACUUCUUUUUUUUAAGAACACGACUGAGUUUAGUUCACGAAUUGUUGCAGUCUUCUUUUUGCGCGCUGUUCUGGUUUGAAUGUUAAAAUCCGGAAUUCAAAUUCGACUCUUGCUAUAGACUUUGCUUAAAAUUGUAUCGGUAAUAAGCUGUACAAAUACCAUAUUCGUUACCGCAAGAUAUGUCGCCCUUUCCUAUUCAUUGACCUACUAUUUUUCAUAUGCUACUGGCACAAUUGUUUUGUAUAAUUUCUAAUAGAAACUAUCUAACUUCUCCAUAAUUCUAAGAUAUGUUGCAAAAAUUACUUCUAUCGCUUCUGUUUUCGGUUGCAGUGAUGUCUGUGUUACCUGCUGGUUUAUAUGCGAACGAUGAGUGCUUCAUCGACGAUGAUUGUGAACGUGGCAAAAUUUGCGUUCAAACUUGCGAUGGAUCUGGAGGCUGCACUAACUAUUGUUUUUGGGGAGAGUGAUUGAUGCAUGGGCAAAGGACAUCACAAUGGGUGGCAGCGGUCAAUCAGCGUCAAACAUCGUGAAAGAAUCAAUACAGAGAAAGUGACUUUAUUUUCAAUUUAUUGUUGAUGAAAUAAUCU
Molecule: non-coding RNA, 1240 nt
Organism: Styela clava
Lineage: Eukaryota; Metazoa; Chordata; Ascidiacea; Stolidobranchia; Styelidae
Source: RefSeq, a predicted model, not a curated record